AGAGUUUGAUCCUGGCUCAGGACGAACGCUGGCGGCGUGCUUAACACAUGCAAGUCGAACGAGACGAUUGAAAGCUUGCUUUUGAAAGUCGAGUGGCAAACGGGUGAGUAACGCGUAGACAACCUGCCGUAAAGAUGGGGACAACAGUCCGAAAGGACUGCUAAUACCGAAUGUUGUGGAACUUCCGCAUGGGAACUCCACUAAAGAUGGCCUCUACUUGUAAGCUAUCGCUUUACGAUGGGUCUGCGUCUGAUUAGCUAGUUGGUGGGGUAAUGGCUUACCAAGGCGACGAUCAGUAGCCGGUCUGAGAGGAUGAACGGCCACAUUGGAACUGAGACACGGUCCAGACUCCUACGGGAGGCAGCAGUGGGGAAUCUUCCGCAAUGGGCGCAAGCCUGACGGAGCAACGCCGCGUGAGUGAAGAAGGGUUUCGACUCG
This 438-nucleotide ribosomal RNA is filed under the name Mitsuokella multacida DSM 20544. RNAcentral's name for it is "bacterial SSU rRNA". It matches the Rfam family "Bacterial small subunit ribosomal RNA", at positions 8 to 425 of the family's 1533-position model. Lineage: Bacteria; Bacillati; Bacillota; Negativicutes; Selenomonadales; Selenomonadaceae. The record is from RNAcentral.